Long non-coding RNA from Neofelis nebulosa (Clouded leopard), 10851 nucleotides. RefSeq lists it as uncharacterized. NCBI's taxonomy places the organism in Eukaryota, Metazoa, Chordata, Mammalia, Carnivora, Felidae. The record is from RefSeq and is a predicted model, not a curated record. The transcript is spliced from 2 exons.
CACGACCCCGAGAUCGUGACCCGAGCUGAAGUCGGAUGCUCAACCGACUGAGCCACCCAGGCGCCCCUAAACCUUUAAUUUCUAAUGGACGAGCAAAAUAAGUGGUUUCUUGAGCUAGAAUCUGUUCUUGGUGAAGAUGCUGUGAAGAUUGUUGAAAUGACAACAAAGGAUUUAGAAUAUGACACAGACUCAGUUGAUAAAGCCGCAGCAGGGUUUGAGAGGAUUAACUCCAAUUUUGAAAGAAGUUCUACUGUGGGUAAAACGCUAGCAAACAGCACUGUGUGCUACAGAGAAAUGGUUCGCGAAAGGAAGGGUCUGUCAACAUGGCAGACUGCACUGUUGUCUUGUUGUAAGAAAUCACCGCAACCACCCCCUCGAUCGGUCGGCAGCCGUUACGUCGGGGCAAGACCCUCCACCAGCGGAAAGAUUACAACUCGCUGAAAGCUCGGAUGAUGGGUAGUGCUUUUUAGCAAUGAAGUGUUUUUAAUUAAGGUGUAGACAUUAUUGUGUCAGACAAAAUGCUAUUGCACACUUCACAGGCUACGGUAUAGUGUAAACAUAACUUCAUAUGCACUGGGAAACCGAGAAGAAAUCCAUUUGACCGGUCAUUUGACUUGCUUUAUUGCGAUACUUGCUUUAUUGUGAUGGUCUGGAGCUGAACCCACGUUAUCUCUGUGGUAUGCCUGCCCUUUGAUGGUCAAAAUGGUCUUAUGUGUAGUUGUGAAACCCCAGCUAUUUUGAGAAAUCGAAAAGCCAAAAAUCUUACACAAAAUUUCACAGUUUGGAAUUCUAUAUGGCAUGUUUGGCUCACUUACAAUCCACAUUUCUGUUAUGCUCUUCAGAUAAUACUGGGGAAACCCCACAGAACCGUGUCGUGUGCCCAAGAUGAAUUGCAGGGAUUCAUGUUGGGUUUUGGCUCUGCCCUGUCUGUGAAGUUAGAGUGCUGGGAGUAGAGGUUGAAAUUUGCAAUUCUAGAGUGGUGACAAAUGUAGGUGAUUUGGUCUUCCCAGAGUAUUAGUCCCUGUCCCUCCAUCUUGCUGUCUUCAAGCUCUCAAUUAGGAUUUCUAGUAGAGAAACCGCGGGCUUUCCACGGACUGGGCUGCAGAGAUCACUGCUGUGUUGUCAGCAGGUGGACGUGUGGGGUGGUCCGUCUUCAGGGUGGAGGACUGGGCCUUGAGCUCCUGUUGGCUGAGGCUUCUAAUAGCCCUCCAAAUUUACACACAGAGCAAAUGAAGGGAAUUUUAAAAGAUACUUGUAAAUUUUCGUAUAUUUUCUGGAGAUACUUUAAACUCUAGUUUAUAUAGUUUUCAUUCGUACCAGGAUACUAGUAAACCCAUAAGUAAUUGAAAGCCGCUGAAGUUUCAUCGAUUAAAUUGUCUUUGGUUUACUUAGUUGCCCAGUUCUAGAUACAUCAGAGUUGAGGGGUGUUGUUUUCUGUGACCUAUGCCAUUCAAGCGGUGUUAAUAACAGAAGUAAUGCCUUGUUUGUGCUUAGGUCCCUUUGUGGAGAACGACCCGAUAUGCCAAUAAUACAGAACAUUCUGUAUUAUUAUUAAAGCAUGUUGACCUGUUAAGGCCCCAAAGCCAACCCCAUUUCAUAAGUAGAAUUAAAUGAGACAUGAAGAAGGGGAAGUGUUCACCCAGAGCAAUUUAGCAGAUUUUUAGAGCGAGUCACCACGAGAAAAGAGGCCCCCCAAGCCAGUGCUUGCUGUUUUCAUGCUACGGUUCCAAGUGGAAGAGCCCAAAGUUAGACUCUGUGGCUCAGGCCUCACCCAGUAGGACCCUGCAUCUUCCUUGGCAUGUCUUUCCUUUAGUGGGGAUAGAGGUGAGAACUGUUACAUUUGCGUCCUUCCGGAACAGCUUAAGACUAAAAAAACUCAAAUGUCUAUGGGGUGCCUGGGUGGCUCAGUCGGUUGAGUGUCUGACUUUGGCUCAGGUCACGAUCUCACAGUUUGUGGGUUCGAGCUCCGUGUCGAGCUCUGUGCUGACACCUCGGAGCCUGGAGCCUGCUUCGGAUUCUGUGUCUCCUUCUCUCUCUGUUCCUUCCCUGCUCACGCUCUGUCUCUCUCUCCACCUCAAAAAUAAAGAUUAAAAAAAAUUUUUUUUUUAACUCCAAUGUCUGCAAAAGUAAGACACAGAGUGAGGCAAAGCGUAAGAUAAUAUCUGGCCAAGCAGUAUUGUCUUGGGUGAGUGAGUGUCUGGUCACUUAGGAGCCUGCCUGUCCCUGUGCCUUCUUAGGAUCUGACCACAUACUCCUUCUCGUGCUUCGUGAUGAACCUCCAUUACCUCUUUUCGUGCACAUCUUCUUUGGGUCGUACAAACUGUAUUCCUGACCGUGCUCUGGGUAGUUUAGAAUUCUUACAUUAUUUCUGUGAAAUACAAACCCUUGAAAGUGAUCGCUGAGACGGCACAUGGUGCUCACCGCAGCGGUGUCUUUCUGUGUAGGUCACUCGCAUCGUUCGGAGUGCUGCUUCACGAGUGGCUGAAACUUGCAUCACAAGCGUCCCUCCAGAUCGCCCAGUCGAUGGAAGUGUUUUCACCACAGUCUCGCAGCAGAUGUUUACUCUCUGCGCACUGGCUUCACAGAUGCGUGUAGAUGCUCCCCUUGUAGAUGGACUCCACCGCUGGUGUGAAUCGUGACUGCUUUGUGGCCGUAAUUAAAGCUACUAAAAGGAAGGAUGGGGGUGAUAUGGACUGUGUUCAAAGCAGGUGUUCAGUUUUGACAGAGAAGAGCCAAUGUUUUAGCUUUGCUGAAUUUUUAGAAAGCUAGAAAUGAAAGGUGAGACCCAGGAGAGAGGGGAGAGGGUGUCCCCCAGGCUUGUUACAUAUACUCAGUAUCCAGGUGGGUAAAAAUAUGAGACUAAAAAGAUAAAGGAUUUGGCUAGAGUAGACUUUUUUGAUUUUUCAAUUGGAUGAUACUUUGCUGAUUGCUAUUUUUUUUACAAGGCCCUCUGCAAGAUUUUUUUUUUUUUUUCUUAAAUCUCAAAAAGAAUGAGGAAUUGUAAUCUUGGGAGCAUAAAAAAUUUUUUUAGUUUAUUUUAUUUUUUUAAAAAUGUUUGUUUUUGAGAGAGCGCAAGCGGGAGAGGGGCAGAGGAGGACAAAGGAUCGGAAGUUGGCUGUGCGCUGAUAGCAGGGAGCCUGAUGGGGGCUUGAACUCAGGAACUGUGAGGUCAUGACCUGAACCAAAGUCGGACGCUUAACCAACUGGACCACCCAGGCGCUCGCAGGUUGUUUCUUAAAAGAUAAGUCAAGUUGGUGUUAGAUUGUUACACUCAUUCAUUUUGCGGAUAUUUAUUGACAGUCUACGUAAUGCCGAACAUUGUGUUAGAUGCUAGAAGUGUAUCAUUCCACAAGAGAUAGAUUCCCUGGUUCAUGGAAACUUUAAAUCUAUAAAGUAGACAGAUUAAGUGAAUAAUCUCUUAAAUAUGUAGUUAUAAAUCCUGAAAAGUGCUAUAAGGGAAAAGUACCGGAUAUAUAACAGAGGGACCCAACUUCAAUAAAGGAAUGUCUGAAGAUGUUUCAUUUCAGUUAUGACCCCAGACAUGAGAAGAGAAGGAUGGAAUCAGAAGAACACCCAGGCCAGGGCACCAGGCUGUAUAGAGGCCUUGGAAUAGGAUGACCUUGGAAUUCGGGUGCGACUAAAAGAAAAUAAGUAUAUGGAGGUGUGUUGAGCGGGACGAGGUAGAGGUGAUGGGAACGGGUUAGAUCGUGGUGACCUUGCAGGCUUCAGCGGUAGUGACAGCAUCUACGGAGGGCCUCUGCUGUGUCAGGCACUGUUCUGGGUGCUUUAUGUGCAUUGAUCGAUCGGCCUCAUAGAUAAGAGGCUGCGUGCCUUGCCCAACUUUAUGAAGUAGUACAGCCAAGAUUUGAUCUCAGUUUGGUUUCAGGAUCCAUAAUCUUAAACACCGUGUUACGUUUUUAUGUGGAGAAAAAGGAUAAGGCGUUAAAGAAUUUUCAAACAGGAUAAGUAAUAAGUAAUAUCAGAUUUGUUUUGUGUUUUAUAAAUACAUAAAUAUAUAUUAUGUGUGUGUGUGUGUGUGUGUGUGUGUAUAUAUAUAUAUAUAUAUAUGCAUGUACCUAUGUAUACAUGUAUGUAUAUAUAUGAUGCAGUGUGGAAGGUGGGGUGAAACAGGUCACGAGUGGAAGUGGCGAGACCAGGCAGCACCCUUGGCUCCUGUGGGCGCGUCUGCCCCCUCUGGCUCCACAAAUGUAAGUAUAUCCACAGAGCCAGCCACCGGGAGAAAUCUUCCAGUGCACGAAUGGGACGGCGAGGGAGUUUCUGAAAUGGCUGUGAGUGAACGAAGAGCAAGACAGUGUGACCUGGCAUACCCAGCAGACGUUCGGGGGUGAGGGUUUUGCCUGGUCUCCCGUGCACGUCCUUCGUUUUCCAGGUUUUGCAGAAACAUACGAGUAGGUUGACUUGACAUAAUUUUGUAUCACUUGAGCCUGCUUGUUCUGUAGAUUAAUUUGGAAACUGCUGACAUCCGUAGAAUAGUCAUUUUUGGCCUCCUCUAGAAGCACAGCUCUGCUUCUUUGAAGCUCAUUUGAAUAAUUUUGAAGACCACCCUGGGGGAGGUGCCUCACGUCCCCCCAUCUCAGAAGUACGUGGCUUCUAAGGAGUUGUCGUUUUACAAGGGCCCGCUUUCUUUAAGAAAUUACAGCAUCCAGAGAAACAGUGAUCCUGACGCUGGGCGGCUAAGGGAAGGGAGGGUCUCCCGGCCCGAGGCCUUUCUUGGAUGUGUAGGGCUUGGACACAGGUCGAUGCCGCGCACCAGGAUGGGAGGCCCGCGGUGGCUUGCCGGCGGGCUCGGUGGGCUCUGCUGGGCCAGCAGCCGGUGAUGGGGAAGAGUGAGCGCAGGGAAAAGAGAAACUGCGAGCGGCACAGAAAAAGUUAAGCAGGGGCUGAGUAACCCCCUUCCCCUGCGGGCUCACCAACAGGAAGUACUUGGUAGAUAGAGGUGAGAAACCUUUCGUUAAACGGCAGAAUUCAGAAUGUUUGACGGUCUUCUGGUUUUUUGUUGUCGUUUUAGUAAAUGUUGAGAAAUAUAAAAGAAUCCUUGUAAAAUGCGUGUUUGGUAUAAAAGUAACGUAACGAAUUCCUGUGUACUGCCACGAAGUUCGAGAUUGCGGGGAGCCUUCCCUCCUGGGUCCGGUUCCCUGUCCUCGCCCCUUAGAGAUAACUGCUGUCUAUCCUGAAUAUUGGUAUAAUCCCCUUCCUUUUCUUCAUGGUUUUGCCUCAAAUAUUCGUAUCCUUCCACAACAUAUUGUUUACGUUUGCAUGUUUUUGAACUUCACGUAAAUGGAAUCAUGGAGAAAGAAUACGUUUCUGCACCUAGUUCUUUUCACUCACCUUUAUCCUGAGCUUUAACUGCCAUGUGUAGUUCUGCACAAUUUCACAGCCUUGUGCGGACAUAAUACAUUUUACUUCUGUUUUCUGCUGUUGACAGACAUUUCGGUUUGUUCCAGUUUUUAUUGGUUUUUUUUGUUUCUGUUUCACUGUCGCACACGGUUCUGUGACUGUGCAUGUUGUAAAGGUCAUUCCUUAAGGGUAUACCUAGGAAUACAAUGUUUGCAUUAUAGGUAUGCAUAUCUUCUAUUUUACUAAAUAAAGGCAGUUAUUUCCAGAUGUAUAUAAGAGUUCCAGUAAUUUCAUGUCCUUGCCAACAUUUGAUAGAGUCAGACAUUAAAAUGUUUGCCAGUAUUGUGAAUUUUGAAGUAUCUCAGAGAAGUUUUAGUUUGUAUUUCUCUGAUUAUUAUGGAUGUUGAACACGUUGUAAUGCAUUUAUUGGCUAUUGGUUUCUUCUUCUGUGAAGGAUUCAUGUAAAGCUUUUGCUCAUUUUUCAGUUGAAUUGUCUUUUCUUUUUGAUUUGUAAAAAUUCUAGAUGAUCCUUAUUUUAAAUAAUAUAUGUUGCAAAUACUCGUGGCUUACCUUUUGUGUUCUUUUUUUUUUUUUAAUUUAUUUUUGAGAGAGAGAGGGAGAGAGACAGAAUGCAAGUGGGGGAGGGGCAGAGGGAGAUGGAGACACAGAAUCCGAAACAGGCUCCAGGCUCUGAGCUGUCCACACAGAGCCCAACGCAGGAGGGCUCGAACUCACGAACUGUGAGAUUAUGACCUGAGCCAAAGUCGAAUGCUUUACCAACUAAGCCACCCCAGGUGCCCCUACCUUUCAUGUUCUUUAUGGUAGAAUUAGUAUUUUCUUAAUUUUAGUGUAGUUGAAUUUAUUUGUCUUUAUGAUUUGAGUUUGUGUUGUUUAAGGAGUGUUUCUUCGUGGAUGUAAAAGCAGUCCCCUGUAUUUGUUUUAAUUUUAAGAGUUUUAUAAUUUUGGAGCGCCUGGGUGGCUCAGUCGGUUGAGCGUCCGACUUCAGCUCAGGUCAUGAUCUCACAGUCCGUGACUACAGCUCAGAGCCCGGAGCCUGCUUCGGAUUCUGUGUCUCCCUCCCUCUCUGCCCCUCCCCCCGCUCACGUUCUGUCUCUCUUUCUCUCAAAAAUAUAUCAACAUUAAAAAAAGAAAAAAGAGUUUUAUAACUUUGCAAAGUGCCUGGGUGGCUCAGUAGGUUAAGCAUCUGACUCUUGAUUUGGGCUCAGGUCGUGAUCUCACGGUUCACGAGUUCAGGCCCCAAGUCGGGCUCGCACUGCCAGUGCAAAUCCUGUUUGGGAUUCUCCCUCUCUCUCUCUCCCCUCUCUCUGCUUCUCUCUCUCUCUCUCAAAAUAAGUAACCUUAAAAAAAAGUUUUUUAAUUUUGCUUUUCAUAUUUAAGUCUUUAAUCACCUGGAAUUGGUUUAUUGUGUGUGAUGUGAGGUAGAGGACCGGUUUUAUUUUUGUGUGUGCAUAACCAGGCGUCCCAAUACCAUCUUUUGAGAAAUCCAGCCUUUUUUCCACUAAUUUGUAUUGCCAGGUAUGUCAAAAAUGAAAUUUCCAGAAAUGCGUGAAUCCACUUCUGGGUUCCGUUUUGUUCCACUGGUCUGUCUGCUCCUGUAUCAGUACCUUCCUGUCUAGCUUUUGAAUAAUUGUUGAUAUUUGGUGUGGCACUUCCCCACCUAGUCCUUCUUUUUCAAGAAUAUUUUGAUUAUUGGCCCUUUGCUCUUCUGUAAUGUUUUUAGAAGCAGCCUGUCUUGCUCCACAAACUAACCACUUGGGAUUUUAAAUGAAAUUGCAUUAAAUUGCAUCUGUAGAUCCUUUGAGUUCUGGGCUUUCCUUAUUCCUCCCUUGCCUACUUGGACAGUCUCUCCAAGCACAUUAUGAAACACUUCUCCACACUGUUUCCUGCAUGCCAAGUUGCAGCCUUCCCUUGAGAGAAUAUAGAAUAGAUUUCAAAACCUUUGUCUUCUGUGUUAUGUCUUUGAGGUAAACUUUGCUUGAAAAUCCAACCAUAAGAAUUUGGGGCCGCUGUUCAAUUUGCUGCCUCCAGAAAGGAAACUCGGGCUCUUUGGGAUUUUGCCUUGGCUAUGUUUCAGAGCCUAGUUCUGUGGAGUGGGAAGGCUUGCUUGUGUGCCUUAAAUGUCUAUGGGACAGUGCUGCACGAGCUAAUAGGAGCUCAUGAAUGCUCUUACUAUUAGUAAUGCCCAAAUGCGGGAAGUGUAUCUUGGCUUGGAAUGAGAGAGGUUCCUGGGAAGUUUUCUUGGCUCUGUUUUCUCCUUAAGAUUUAUAUAGGACGCAACAGUAAUUCUUUUGUUGUUGUUGUUGUUGUUGUUGUUGUCUUUCUGACUCCAGGGUAAUUUUUAAGGAGAGAUUUGUUAACCACAGUAUUGCAAGUUUUCUUAAAUACACUGGUGUUUUGACCAAAUGGGACAGAAGUGCACAUUAAAUUCAUAAAAAUUCUUUUCCUUACCUUCUUGGAAGUUUGGAAACUCAUUCUCCUUCGCAUUUCUUUUGAGUCCUCUAGGCCAGUGUGUGUGUGUGUGUGUGUGUGUGUGUGUGUGUGUGUGUGUGUGUUUUAGGGGGAGAAGGGAUAGAAGUCUUCCUUCAGGAGAUAAAGCUCACCAAGCAGCUGAUCAGGCCUUUGUAGGCCUUGAAUUUGCUUUGUAUUGUGGUGUUUUGUUUUGACACCAGGAACUAGAAGUACAACAUUAUCUGAUCUUCUUAAGGGCCCUUUUGGCACCCAGGGAAUUCCUGGAUUUCCUGUGUGAAUUAACAUAAAGCAGGAUUUAAAACUCUGCUGUAGCCUACCCCACUACUUAUUCAGUCUUCUUUAGGAAUUGGACCAGCUCUUCCUUGGAUCAUUUGCAACUCAUCAGGGUCUGUGCUUUACUCAAGACUUUCUGAGUAGACCUGACCCUCUGUCCAGACAAAGGGCAAGGAGGCAGGAGGCAGCCUGAGACUCUGGAAGGAGGGGCUCUGCUGCAUCAUUUAAAGACAUUAAUAGUCAGCUCAGUCAUUAUGCUGUGACAGGUGUUGGUAUUCUUUAUUCAACUGUUAAUUUAUGUGUGUAAUCCAUUUUGAUUUUAGACCGUGAACAUGUUAAAUUUUAAAAUGCAAUUAGAAUACUUCAGAAGCUAGGUUUUCCCCCUGUGCUUCUUCUAAAGAACAGCAUUGGACCAAGGAAUUCUGGGAACAGAAGAUGGGAGGACCUGAGACGCCAGUGGCUGGCAGAAAGAGCCCUGCAGGACUGCUCUCGGGCAGGCAGGCCCCAGAGGAGAAUGUGGGCAGGAGGGACUCUCUCUAGUCAGAGACACUUUGGGUUCACUUCUGGAUUGUUGUUGAAGUGAUUGUGGUCAUUUUGUCCGUGGAGAAACACACCCAUGACCGGCACGGUGAUGGCCAGGCGUUCACCUCUGUUUCGCAGGGGCACUGAUCACAUCCGCUUCUCGGUUCUGCACACAAGAGUGAGACAUUGUUUAGCUGGGACUUCUGAGAAUUUAAGUCAUGGGACUAAAUAACACGUAGCCUGACUUCUUUAUUGGCAGUCUGGAAUUACCUUCCGGAACAACUGAGUAAAAGCAUACAGAGCUGUGCUGUCUCCUAUAGCUAGAGGGAGCGAGGGAAAUACCUUCAAAGCCUCUGGUUGUGGCAUCAGAGCCUUUGAUCCAGAUCAUAUGUGACAAGAAUUUUUAAGUGCUACUCAUCAAGCCAAUUUUCCUCUUAUCUGGGGUUAGUGUUCAACCUCUUAUCUCUGCUCUUGCCUUAAGCAGCUAACACUUGCCUCUUUAUUUGCUGCCCUAUGUGAGUAACUGUUGAAAUGAUUGCUUGAGUUCCCAGGGGAGAAUCCCUACUCUCCUUAUUAACACUGUGUGGGGGUGUGGGUGCUCUUAGUAGCCCAGGGCUUCCAGAGCGGCACAUUACAGCACCAUCCCUGUAGGGAGAACACUGCCAGGACAGUGUGUCUUGAGGGGACAACUCUGCUAUCUGUGUCCACUCGGAACUCAGGGAUAGAGCGAACUUUACAAACGUCCUGGUUCACCCCAUCCCCUGACUGCACAGUAGAAAGACAAGCACACAGUGGACUAGACUGCAGAGCCCAGGCCCCCCGAGUCACUGGGCCCCAGGAUGUUUCGGGGUGAUAUAGUGAGUUGUACAACAUUUUUUCCAUUCUCAGUUCAGCAUCAGAAAUGCAGAUUCUCUAUAGCUUAAACUCCUGAAGGGUCUCCUGAACUUUCUUUCUGCUUAAAGAGUUUGUGAUCUAAGCCAGUAAUUUUCAGUCUGGGGUUUGUGACGCUCCAGUAUGUUCCACAUUAUCAUAAGAGAAUAUUUUUAAAGUUCAGUAAUAGAGUUCAUUGUAAUUAGGUAUAAUUUUUAACAUAAGUACAUGUCCUUUGAUGUGUUUUAAGAGUGGACUUAUGGUGUCACGAACUUAAAUAAUGGGAUGUUGCAAGUCCCCCAAGCUCGACCUUUCCAGUCUGUCCAUCAAAACUAAUUCUAUAUUGAAGUGUCCAAGGUAGCCAGCUAAAGAUUAGCAGCGGCCCACCCCCAUCACUCGUACGUCCAGACGGACACACACACACAUGUUUACCAUCUGACCAAGAUUCCAAGCCAAAGCCCGAGAUGGAAAGUGAAUUUUUUCAUUCACGUGGAGGGAGCUGUGAGUGCCACCAGCUUCUGACAUUGGGAUCCCUGUGGGCAGAGAGUGGACCUGGGAUCAUCGCAGCCACGGGCGGUGAUCUCCCCACUGGUGCUUCAGGCCGCAGGCCGGCCGGCUGACCUUUUUUGGCUUUGUUUUCUUAAAGAGUCGUAUCGGGACUUCUGAUUUGAAAGCAUAAUCCCAAAGCCACUCGGCAUCUGCCUGCAAAAAGCCUGUGUGUCCUGAAGCGCUCCCCUCCUGAUACUGAGCGCGGGGCCUGCUUUCACUCCUCCAGGCAGACUUCACUACGGCCACCUUCUUCAGUGCGCUUAGCACAGGCCCCAGCCGUUCUCACGUCACAGACCAGGAAACAUCCAGCCCUUGAGAAAUGGAAGUUGUAAUUGUAGUGUCCGAGUGUUCAACUGGCCCAGAGUCGGACACCCUUGUUAAUUCAAGUUAAGACUCUGCCCCUGGGACGGCGUCAGGCCAAGGCUUGGGCGGCUCAUCACGCAAGUGAUCCUGGCCCAGUGGUUCUGAGCGAACAUCCGCGUGUACGUGAGGCAACACUGGGGGGCACUUGUUCUCAUUUUACAUUUGAACAUCCCUCGGGACAGGAAAUAAUUUUCGUUUUUGAGUUACCCUAACAAAUUAAGUGGAUUGAGGGACUCUUUUGGGGUUGUUUUUUGUUUUUUACCUUAAUGCAUGAAGUCCCAUAGCAGUACUUAAUAAUCUUGAGGAGUUUAAUCCUCAUAGCUAAUUUCCUGUCUGCUCACGUUUACAAGUUUGAAAACCUUCACUGAGAGAUUAGCAAAUUUCUUAUUUCUAAAAUUGAGAAUAUAUAGUUUUUAGGAACAUUGA